This 407-nucleotide ribosomal RNA is filed under the name uncultured bacterium. RNAcentral describes it as "partial 16S ribosomal RNA". It matches the Rfam family "Bacterial small subunit ribosomal RNA", at positions 30 to 526 of the family's 1533-position model. The record is from RNAcentral.
AUUGAACGCUGGCGGCAGGCCUAACACAUGCAAGUCGAGCGGAGCGGCGGACGGGUGAGUAAUUCCUAGGAAUCUGCCUGGUAGAUGGGGAUAACGUCCGGAAACGGGCCCUAAUACCGCAUCCUUCUAGAUGAGCCUAGGUGGGAUUAGCUAGUUGGUGGGGUAAAGGCCUACCAAGGCGACGAUCCGUAACUGGUCUGAGAGGAUGAUCAGUCACACUGGAACUGAGACACGGUCCAGACUCCUACGGGAGGCAGCAGUGGGGAAUAUUGGACAAUGGGCGAAAGCCUGAUCCAGCCAUGCCGCGUGUGUGAAGAAGGUCUUCGGAUUGUAAAGCUCUUUAAGUUGGGAGGCGUUACCAACAGAAUAAGCAACGGCUAACUUCGUGCCAGCCGCCGCGGUAAUAC